UCACGAUUCCAUGUUCUCUUUACUGUCUGUAACAUAGACAAUGAUAAUAUAAUAAGUUAAGUAAUAACAGAAACACAAAAUUUUUACAACUGAUCGGUGGAGAUGGUAUGUUCCGCUCGAUUACUCGAUGUUUCCUAUUCCCGAACGCCGUCGUUUUGUUCAUAUGUUUCGCCUGCACACCAUAACUCCAGGUAUUUCUGUACAAACCCUAAAUCUACCGUCCGAUGGCGUUCGAUGUCAUCGUUCGAUCCAUAUGCGUUCAAUUAAUCGCAUCUUUAUAAAUCUAGGUAUUAUUAGAAGAAUUUCUUAAUCAAGUUUUAGUAAAACUUCAUUUACAAACUAAAAUUGUUAAGAGAUCUUAAUAUCUGGUUGUUCUUAAUUGUUUCUAGACUUUGGCUGCACUUAAAGAGGAGGGGAUUGUUUGAAAAGGUCAAUCAUUUGCCUAUACAUGUCUUACCUGUUGCUAACACUGGUCAAAGUCAAAGUUAAAGUCACCAUGGUCAGAGUUCAUACUCAUCUGAUGACUUCCCAAAAACCGUGGUGAUGACGCUUAAUCAAGGUUCAACGGUCAAGAGCAUGGAUUUUCAUCCUUUGGAACAAGCAUCGGUGACAUCAUGAUAUGGGAACUCGCUAGCAGAGAUUUCUUUCAGGUGAAAUUUCUUUAUCCAAAUCUUUAUUACAUUUUUUUUUGAGAGUUGAAGCUAGGGCUGAGCAACAAGCCAAACUCGGAGUAGACUGAACCCGAAGAUACACAACAACAGCAUAUAGACCUCAUCGGAACAUGAUGGUUCGUGACUGAUAUAGUCCUAGAUCAGAACUUGGUCUGCGGUGGACCUGAACCCACUCACAUUAAGAACAUUAAUGUAAACAAAAGUAUUUCUUUUUGAACUAACCUCUUCAUUUAACCUGUAUAAUUUUUAUCACAAACCCACUUAAAAAAUGAGGUUUCUGCAUUCUGCUAUUUAAAUGACUUGUUUACGACUGUCGCAAAAUUUUUUGAAUUCGCCAUUGUUCUGUGCUUUAGUCUAAAAUCCAAAAGAACCUCCUUUUGUUUACGAUUUUCACAAAAUAUUUUGAAUUCGCCAUUGUUCUGUUCUUUAGUCGGAAGUCCAAAAGAACCUCCUUUUGUUUACGAUUUUCACAAAAUAUUUUGAAUUCGCCAUUGUUCUAUUCCGUCAUCAAUCAUCAUCGAUGUCACGAUU
Helianthus annuus (common sunflower) is the source of this 1202-nucleotide long non-coding RNA. RefSeq lists it as uncharacterized. Lineage: Eukaryota; Viridiplantae; Streptophyta; Magnoliopsida; Asterales; Asteraceae. The transcript is spliced from 3 exons. The record is from RefSeq and is a predicted model, not a curated record.